CCUGGUGGCUCAAACGGUAAAGAGUCUGCCUGCAAUGUGGGACACCCAGGUUCAAUCCCUGGGUUGGGAAGAUUCCCCUGGAGAAUGGAAUGGCAACCCAUUCCAGUAUUCUUGUCUGGAGAAUUCCAUGUACAAAAACCAGGCAAGCUACAGUUGAUGGGGUCACAAAGAGUCGGAUACAACUGAGCUUCUAACACACACACAACAUUCUUUCCUAGUGUGCACCACUCUUCUAAUCGGUGAACCAAUAGAGAUACUAAACUCAAUCCAGUUUUGUUCAGAAAAUAAAAGACACACAACCCUCCUGUAACAAGCAACUGAGCUUAAUUUUGGCAAAGCAAGAAAAAGCACGUAAACAGGAAAAACAAUUAUUAUAAAAAUGAAACCAUGCAGAAUAAACAAUCACGGCAAAAGAACAGAUCAAGAAAGGAAACAACAGCAAGCCACCUUAUCUGGCGGAUUCCCACAGAGCGCCUUUCAGUGCCAGGAAAGUCCUAAAGACAGGAGAGAAGGAAUCAGGCAUUGGAUGGGUGGAACCCUGGAUCUGCAACACACUCACUGGGUGAGCUCAGACAACUUUCGUAGAUGGAGGAUAAUCAGUCAUGAAAUAAAAGAAAACACUUCACUUGUUUGCUGCAGGACUUAAGAAAAG
Molecule: long non-coding RNA, 652 nt
Filed under: Capra hircus (goat)
Lineage: Eukaryota; Metazoa; Chordata; Mammalia; Artiodactyla; Bovidae
Description: lncRNA (ENSCHIG00000001291.1)
Source: RNAcentral